UGUAGAUACUUACUAAGAGAGUCGAGC
This 27-nucleotide non-coding RNA is filed under the name Bombyx mori (domestic silkworm). Lineage: Eukaryota; Metazoa; Arthropoda; Insecta; Lepidoptera; Bombycidae. The record is from RNAcentral.